This 1128-nucleotide unclassified non-coding RNA is filed under the name Hevea brasiliensis (rubber tree). The record is from RNAcentral. Lineage: Eukaryota; Viridiplantae; Streptophyta; Magnoliopsida; Malpighiales; Euphorbiaceae.
AUCAGUCGAGGUAAGUUGCUAAAGGGAAAAUGGGUAAGUUAGUUUAAGGAUGUCUUGUUACAGGAGAUAUAUUAAACAUGAACAGUUUUCGCGGUUUUUAACCUCCACGCAUAUGAGCGCCCAGCUCUCCAAACUGAUCGUCUGCUUCAACGGUGUCAUCUGAAAGGCGUACUGCAUCCAACUUCUGCUUAAGCACUUCUAUUGCAUUGAGCACCAAUUGUGAAGCUUUGACUGCGCCAGUUGUUUCAACUGUGAAAAUAAAACUAUCUUCCUUGGCAUGUAUCUCUACAACUCCAGGUUUUCCCAUGGCUUCAGCCUUCUUGAGCACCUCAUCAUCGUAAGUAUAUGCCUCAGGAUCAACGACAAUAACCUGUUUGUUCUCGGGGUCAAUGCCAAAGACUUUUGUGGGACUACUCUCAACUAAUUCUGUUUUCUCCUCGAGAGUCAAGGAUUCCAUCAUGUCCUCAUUGAUAUAGAUCUCUGGUUCAUACAUGAAAGUCACAGUUGCUGCAGGUGACCAUUUCGCGUGAUCUUUGCCAAUUCCUUUCCGUGCUAUAGCUCUUAACCUUAACUCCUGUCCACGUCGUAGCUUCACAAUUAUGAUUCCCUUAUUAGGAGUAUUAUCAAAACUCGAGGAAGCAUCGGAGUAAUCAACAGGAACAACCGUAUGGUCAGAACUCAACAAAUCCUUGCUAGUAACAUCAAGCGUCUGGUCACUAAGACAUUUCACCCGUAGAUAAAACUCAACCGAACAGUACUCACAUUGUCCAUCACCAUCACAAGCAUCACAGUCACGUGAGAAACGCAUACUCAUCGCUCGUUCACUUGUUAGCGGCACAAGCCCUAAACGAUGAGAAAUGAACUCAUCGUUGAGAACAGAGGAAUUGACCUCGAUUUCAACUAGGUCUAUAGCUAUAGUAGGUACUUCAGCUAUCAUUAUACGCCGGAGAGCGUUAGCUAUACUGGCGUCGGUGUCCCGGAGCUCGAAUUUCAUGAAAUCGUCUUUAACUUCACGUACUUUUAUCUUUGGGAAUCUCUGGUACGAAACGCCCUCCAUUGUUGCUUGCUUUGAGUAUUGAGGGUUUUGCUCUCUGCUCUGCUAAAAGUGAAAUUUGUAACAAGUACUCA